This 13915-nucleotide long non-coding RNA is filed under the name Hordeum vulgare. RNAcentral's name for it is "long non-coding RNA (HVUL_LNC012743)". Lineage: Eukaryota; Viridiplantae; Streptophyta; Magnoliopsida; Poales; Poaceae. The record is from RNAcentral.
UCGUAAGAAGAGAUUCAACCAUAUCGCCAUCGUCGCCAAAGCUCAUUUGCGUCGUCCACGGAUUUCUUCUGGAGCGCGACACACCGAAGCUUCCUCCUGCUUGAAUCUGGUGAGAAUCAUUUCCCCCAUUAGGUUUUUCCACUAUUCUUCGUAGUUCAUCGGAGUUCAUUGAAGUUCAUCGGAUCUCAUCAAAUAUUUAGUCAUAGAUCUAGUCGCCCCAUGUCCUUUUGUCACUAAUACAUAGUAUAUCCUCCGUCGUAUUCUUGUAGUACUAUAGAUCCAUAAUAUUUUACCCAUGGAAUUUCACGAAUACUUUACCUCGGGUGCUUCCUCUAGUUCUUAGGGAUUUCAUUUACUUUUCUCAUAUUUAUUAGAUCCAUUCACCGUUCUAUCUUAGGAUAAAAUGGUUUAUGCACGCGAAAAACUGCCAAGUCCUUUAGAUCUUGGGUUCACCAUUAGCUGACUUGUUUCAUUGCUUGUCAACUUAUUAUCGUGUCGGCUCAUCUAGUAAUACCGACUCGUCCAACUUGCGGGCUUAUUGGAGAAUCCUGUCACUAGCUGUUUAUCUUAAAUCCAUAGUAGAAAAACUUCUGAAAUAUCUGUUAAAUACUGGCUCAAUCUUGUCGGCUCAUAAAACUGUCUUAACACUGUCGUCCAGGUCCAUUUCAGCUCUGAUAAUGACGACCUAGACAUCUGUAUCCAGCUUGUACUUCUACUGUGGCUUAUUAAUCUCAUGACGCGGAUGUUCCUUCAAGAAAAUGCAGCUCAUCUUGUAUAAACAUAGUUUAGCCGGCUCAUGUACUUUUACUUUCACCAUGCAAUUGUCUUGUAAGAACAUUGAUAUCCCCAAAGACCGACAAAGCUGUUGGCUGGGUUCCCACAUGCAGUGCUCACACUAGACGAUCUUGUGAGCCAGGGUCUUUUGUCGGCUUAGGCACAGAUCAGCUGGUGAGCUCCUCAGGAAGAAGCUUCCCACUGACCUCAACAGGGGGAAGUUGUUGUUUUUUCAGUUGCACACAGGCUUUUGACCACGUGGAUCAAAAAAAUCAGAGACAUGCUCAACAUUUUCAACCUUAGACGUCAAGAUAUCGACCCCAACACCAUCACAAACUUUGUGAGUUCCAAGUUCUUUGCGAGGUGUAUCUCCAGAUUGAGCCAACCGUUAAUCUUUUCCGAGAGUUUUUUAUAUCAACCAUCAGAAUGAGUAAAAGAUGGACCCAGCGUAGAGCUUGGUGGAAUUUCAAUUCAGAAAUGGUAAAAUAGUGUUUUCCCUGAAGCCAAACCGGCAAGUCAUCCCAAGGGUUGGGUCAAGACUUCGUCUUGCUGUAAAAAGACUACCCCUCAAGGUGAAAACACCCUAUCGGGUUACAGUCCGGAAUGACUCAAUACUACUGUCGCUUUUCUGGGUUGGACAUCCAAUGAAGAAAAGAAUUAGAUGGCGCCUUAUUGCCUAAGGUUAGGAGCAUUGACGGCUCAUGGUCUCACCAGGUUUGAUCUAACAUGGUGUUGGAUAAGCGGGCGGAUUCAGCCCCUUAGCUUGAGGGGCGAUUUAAUGUGCAAUUAUACUGGUGACCCGGAAGAUGUGCAUCGCUUCAACCCGAUCAAUUUAUCUGAAGAUGAAGUCACUAAGAACAUGAAGAAAUUUCUGAGUGACUUCAAGGACAAGUGCAACUUGACUGGGCUCGCUCCCUUUUGCCCGACUAAUCAUGUCCCUCCAGUAAUCAUUCUUAGGCUUGCUUUUAUAUUUGUCUCUUAUAGCAUAUCUUAUUUUAGUGUACUUAUUCUCCGGCUUAACAUAUGUGUAGGCAGAUUUUGACUUGUGGAAAGUUUGGGCCCAAAAUCCUGCUCCUCCCCAAGCUGAGCAAGAGAAUGAGACGGUGGGUGAGGCGACUGCUGGAAGAGAGUCAGAGGUAGAUAUCGACUCACUUGGUCGUCUUUUUAUUGAACUUGCUGACCCUCUUGAUUUUGAGGAUAAAACCGAGACCAGCCAAGGCGACAAUGUGGACAUAAUUUGAAUCUCAUGCAACUCAUCAAAAACAUAUGUCCCGAAGAGAACGAGACUAGCCGUCUGAAAGGUUGUGUUUUCGCUUCCACACGCUCACUUAUAUCCAAAAUUUCUUUUGAAGAAAACUCAACAAACCGGCAUGUCAAAGCGCAAGACCCAGAGCAGUUCUCAGGAGUUAUCUGUAGGCUUAUCAUUAGAGACACCUUCCCCGCAAACAACGAGUCGAGGUGCCUUAUAGUCCAACUCCAUCUCGUCCAUGAUCCGGUCUUUUUAAACAACGAAUCAAUUCUUCUGAUUUGAAUUAUCAGGAAACAUUUCCUUCUUCUAGAGAAUCGACCGCAACUCAGCUCCCUGCUUUCACCAUUGUCGUGGGUAAGUAUCUUUGAGCCAUGCUUUUUUCAUUUUGUCAUCAUAGUUUCUUCUUCAACCUAAUGUUACUAUCAUGACUGUAGGGCCACUCGCAAAGAAGAAGAUCGGCGGGUCAUUUUCAGCUACUGUAGGCCCCAAUACUCAAGACCCUCAUGUGGUCGACCCACAGACCCAAGCUGAUCAUGUUAGCCAGGAUAACCCAGAUAUUGGGGUUGAGCCGGUGCAUGAAAAUGAGCCAGUUCAUGCUCAUGAACCAAUGGCAAUGGAAGAGCCAGCUCUAGGAGAAAAACAAGCAACUAGUGAUGACCCGACCCGCCACGUUUACCCGUCGAGUCCUGCUCGCACCUCCAUUCCUGUGCAGGAGGAAAAUAAUAUUGUCUCGUCUCACACGAUACAUGAUGCAGAAGUGACCAUUAUUGGAGAGGCUCAUAAAGCUCGAGAAACCUCAACUGCCCUAACUAAGGUUCUGGCCAAGGAUGAGCCGGUAAUGACAUCUAAGGGGAAAACCAAACUAUAGCUCCCAAGCUUGGACAAACUUGGUGUCAACGACCUGCAUCAGCAAUAGUUGACCCAGUUGUCUGAUAGCCAAGAUGCUGAAGUGAGCUUGAUAAGUAUGCUCAAGCGGAAAUAUGAGGUAUGAACUCCCCGUUCCCCGUCCUUUGUUAUGUAUACUCUUAUAGCCCCCAAGGGCUAGAUCAAUGCGAUAAGUAGUGAUCUGGGUCUUGUUCAGAAAUGUCUUUUAAUUUUUGAGAAGUGACAAUAGCCCCCAGGGAUUGGGUCGUUAUGAAAAUAACAAGCCAAUUCUUUAAUUCGUCUAGAUCAAUAGUGUAGAAAAUACCACCUGUAGCCCCAAGGGUCGGCUCAUCCCCUUGAGAUAACCAGGUCUUCUCAUAAGUGAAGAAAUGUCUUCCAUUAGGCCCCAAGUGCCAUGUAGAGUACUUGCAACUGUAUGGGACUUGAACAUAAAGCAAAUUUUAUGUGUUGUAUCCCCAAAGUGUCGGAUCAUCUGCUUGCGGAAUCUCGGGGCUUGUAAACAGCCUUUGAUAAUUUGUGAUGUGCAACAGAUGUUGGAUGAGGCCGAGUAGUUUGUGUCCAACUUGGAUAAGAAACUCAAGCAAGAAAGAGAGCUUAAGAAGAAAGCAAAAAUCUUGGUGGCUAAUAUGCAAGAAUCCUUACAACAGCCCGCUGGUAUCUUGCACGAGCCCAAGUCUACCUUCGAUGAAGAAUAGGCCGUCUUGCAGGAAGGUGCAUAUGUAGUAGAAAUCCAACUUGGCUCAGUAAAAGAGGAGUUGAAGACUCUCAAUAAACACAUCACCAAUAUGACUUUGGCUACAUUUGGUAUGUUAUAAUGUCAGUGUAGUUAUAAUCUCGGUUAAGUUAUUCGUUGACUUAUUGAAAUGUCUUUCCUUUGCGUAAGUAGAAGAAGUGAUAAUGCUAUUCAACAUCCGAUGUUUAAAUUGAAGACCAUAUUCACAUACCUAGGGAAGAUGCUCACAUGAUGUGUCUAUGCAAUAAUAGCAGUGAAGAAUCUCACAAAGCCUCCUCUAUGGCAAAUGAUAUGCUCAACGAUUUAUCACAGUUCUUCAAUGGAUCCAGGAAAUGAAGAGGUCGAUGGCUUGUGAUGGGGCCAACAUGGCACAUGCUCGUGCAAAGGCUUAUUUUUCUGAGAUGGAGCCAGAGGCGAUGGAGGGCGAGUUUCCUGAAUUUAGCCUUGACGUCUCAGAAUUUUCCCACGAAGAUAAGCAUGGUGUCUCAAACAAACCCGAGUGUUGGCUACUCAACUUGUGAAGUACUGGACUUGUCAAAAUAUCAAGCCAGCUACUUCAAAGAAAAUAAGCGCAUGAACUCGCCCGGCGACAAGCCAUUCGAGCUUAUGCCUCCAUAUCAUAAGCAAUGCUUCGCCUCUAACGUUGAUCCAUCUAUUAUCAUCCAUGUGGACUCAAUCUUCCAGGAUUUGACAACCAUCUAAUGGUCACAAAAUGACCUCCAGACCGAACAGGACGAGCCGGCUCAAGUUGAUCCAGAAGCCUCUAGUGCAGAAGGCCAACAGAAGGACAUCAACCCGGAGGACUCAAGAGCCGGUGCGCAGGAUUACUACUCUAGCUUAAAAAACUUUGAUGAUUCUAGGGCCCAAAUUGGGUUCGUAAUAGUAGUAGCAAAAACACUUGGUCAUCUAUUGUGCCAUCAAGCACUUUGUACUUUGAAGUGUCAUCUUCUAAAGACUAUGAGCUGGUGCUUUUGAAUAGACAAACUUCUCUACCUAGUUUUCUUCAUUUUUAAAGAUAAUGAGUCGGCCUUUUGCAGCUAUAAGUCGAUAGGAUGAGAUCGUGUCGACGGUAUUAAGGGCCUUCAUAACUUUAUCAAGUAUUAUAAUUGGUCAUCGUGCGAUUGAGUAUGCCAUCAUCUUGAGAGGCUUAAAUUAAUAAACGGGACGUCUAUAGUUGAACCAACAAAGAAUGAUAACAGAAUUACUCCUUAAAGACAGAAUUUGAAGAUAUAUAUAACAUAAAUAAAUAAGUUGCAUAUUUUGCCGACUUUUGAAGCUUGGUGUUAGACCAACUUUAAAGGCUCAGGUCUUGCUUCAAUGAAGUUGGCACGGUAGUCCAUGGUUUAUCCUCACACUCUAUAAGCCGACUCUCACAUGACUUAAUCCAGUGUUUUAACCUUGAAAAGUUCAAGGUCCAUAUGGAUUGACUUAUCAAGAUUACACCGGGUCACCUUUUCGGUGUAGUGAUACAUAUCCAACGUAUCUAUAUUUUCUGACCAUUUCAUGCUAUUAUAUUAUCAUUAUAGGAUACUUUUUGAGUAAUUAUUUACCAAUUUAUAUUAUUUUUGAGAACUAACUAUUGACCCGGUGCCUAGUGCCCAGUGCCAGUUGCUAUUUUUUGUGUGUUUUUUGUAUCGCAGAAAUUCCAUAUUAAACAAAGUCCAAACUCGAUAAAAAUUUACAGAUAUUUUUUUGGAAUAUAGGUGGAUUUUUGGAGUCAGAAUCAACGCAAGACGAUUCUCGAGGGAGGAACAAGCCAACAGGGCGCAGCCUGGGGGUGGGGCCGCACGCUGAUGGCUUCUUCCCACCCCUUAAGUUGGUUGACGCUCUCUUCUGCCGCAACAAAGAAUGUUUUGUGAUAAAAAUCUCCUCAAAAUUUUAGCCCGAUCGGAUUUACGGAUCUCCAGAUAUUUAGGAAAUGAUGAAGGGCGAGAAACCACAGUCACGAAAUAGGAGAGAAACAUAGAGAGAGAGAGAGAUCCAAUCCCGGAGGGGCUGCUGCCCUCGGGGUGCGAUGGCGUCCAUGGACCAGAGGAGACACCCUACGCCCACAUAGUGAGGAGGCCAGGGAAGAAGAAGAAGGAGGGCUCUUUGAUGGCUUGUGGGGCCCACAUUUCUCUGUUUGGUGUGAUUCAAACACUCAAAAAUCCUAUAUAUAUAUAAGAAUCCCCAGAAAUGAAGAGAGAACUUCCACUCCACCGCCGCAACGCUCUAUAUUGAUGAAAAACCCAACUGGAGCCUUUCCAGUACCCUGCCGGAGAGGGGAAAUCAUCUUCGGUGGCCAUCUUGAUCAUCCCAACGUAGGCCAUGACAAGGAGUGAGUAGUUCGCCCUCGGGGCCGAGGGUAUGUACCUGUAGAUGUGUGUUCUAUCUCACGCACACACACACACACACACACACACACACUCUCAUGUUCUUGAGAUGGCACGAUCUUGAUGUAUCAUGGGCCUUGUUAAUCUAGUUGGAUUAUACGAUGUUAUUCCCUAGCUACCUUGUUGUGAUGAAUUGAAACCUUCCCUUUAAUAUCUCGUCAUGUUGGACUGAAUAUUUUGGUUUGAGAACACUUGAUGCAUGUCUUGCAUGCAGGUACCCAUAGUGAUAUUGGGGUAUUGAAGUGAUUCACUUGAUAUAUGUUAUGGCAUCUACUUGCGUAUUCCAAUGACCUUGGUGAGGGAGUCCUCGAGUAAGGGGUCCUCAGAUGGUCAGCCCAUCUUUUAUAGGUCGACCACAUGGGUCGUAUUAUCAAAGACAGGACUGCAUGACGACUUCAUGUUCAAGAAGUAAAGCUCCAAAGACUGGCAUAUCGUCCAAGUUUAGUAGUCUAAGUCGACGCCUCUGCCCUCGACUGAAGGUCGGUUGUAUGUAACCCUAGGAAACCUGGUGUCUAUAUAAAUCACAGGGUUUCAUCCGCAUAGGCAAGUUGAGUCAUCUAGGGUAAAGCUCAUAUGAUCUCGAGGUAGAUCAACUCUGUAAUCCUCAUACACCAUCAAUAUAAUCAAGCAGGACGUAGGGUUUUACCUCCUCAAGAGGGCCCGAACUUGGGUAAAUACCGUCUCCUUCGUCUCGAUCCAACGUCCACAGUUUGGGACCCCCUACGUGAGAUCUGCCGGUUUUGACACCGACAUUGGUGCUUUCAUUGAGAGUUCCGCUAUAGGAUCGCAGGAAGGAUUGAUGGCACGACUUGUAAUCCGCAAAGAGAUCCGCAGCAAGGACUUCUUUAUCCCCGGACAGAUCUUCGCGUCCGCAUGACUUGUAAUCCACAAAGAGAUCCACAUCAAGGACAUCUUUAUCCCCGGACAGAUCUUCGCGUCUAGAAGCAUCAUUCUACAUGCUGAUCCAGCCGACCACGUUAGCGAGGUGGGAAGCUUCACCCCUAGCCAGGAAGUAAGGUUCGGGAGCCUAGAGUUCACCACCAACCCUUGGGGAGAUCUUGUGUUAACAAGGCUCCUAGCUCCUUUCGAGGAGCCCACGAGUUCCGACGCCUCGACUUCAGAAGCCAUGGAUCCCGCUACCGGGGAAACUUUGACCCUUGGUCCGGUCUUAGAGCCCAACAUGGUCGAUACGCUCGGAUUCGGCUCGGCCGAACACGGCCCAGGAGUGUCCACGAACGAUCUCGGGGGUCUGCACUUCGGUCCGACACCGAACACUUGAACAAUACAGACUCCACCAAGACUCCGUUGCUACACGAGUUACUUGACCGGAUCUCCGAUCUAUGAUCGAGUCAGGAUUAGGCCCGGCGAUAGGGAAAUUUAUGUUCCACCCAUUACGCAUUUGGUCUCUACCAUCGAGUGCCCGGCUAAAGGCUCCCACAUCAGCUGCCGGAGUUAAGGACGAUCUAUGUCCCGAUUAUUGAACUUCCGGACUCCUCCAAUAAUCGAGAACCCGGAUCUCAUCCCGAGAUAAACUCGGGGCCAAGGGCCGACUAGGCACAUGACCCAGAACCAGUGCGGUAGGAUCUCCUCACAAUCACGGACUCUAACACCGCCGUACCAAACCCCGCAAAAGUGCGGGACGCGGUUGCCGAAGUCUCAGACUCGUACCUCGUGGGAUUGCAAAAUUUUACCCCACCCACAACCCAGCUCGAUCAUCCCUUGGGAAAAACGGAAGGGUUUAGCCUACCUCACCCGCACAAGGUCAAACAAUGGCGAGGGGAAUCAAUAAACCACUUUUUGGCUAGAUUCCUCCUUAACAAUGGUAGGGCAGAAGGCCUCGGUGACCAGGAGGUGAUCAAUGCCUUCCGACAUAGCUGGCAUGACGAGGCCAUCCUUAACAUCCUCUCUUGCCGCCGAGUCCAAACCUUCACCGAGCUGUCAAACCUGGUGCUCAAAUAUUGCACCAUGGAAAGCACUUGGCAAAUGUAGCUAAUGCACAUAGAGUCCAGACACAUCAAGCAAGCCACAGGAACCCGAAGAAGGCAUGCUCCCCCAUUCCCGGGGCCAAAUACAUCAGGAUCAAAGAGAAGAGGAAUAAAACGAGGACCAGAUCGGUCAUCGACACAUUACUAGACGAGCCUUGCCACGUACACUCGGCCUGCCAUAUAAAAGCUCCACCCAAAGCCUUCGAGCAUGUCGGGUCGUGAGACAAGUUGCAAAAAGUGGAGAGGUCAUCCUAAAGGCUCUGCUUGCGGAGGUCGGGACUGCCGCUCGUAAGCAACACAGAGAUCCUAACAAUCUACAUAACAUUUUCCUCCAAAAAUCAAAGAAAGAGAGUUCUUCGAGGGUUCCAUCAAAUUCAUCAUGUAGCGACGACAAGUCCAUGGUUGGACACACCAAUUAAUUUUGACAAGGACGACUAACCGAUCACUAGUACGGGCCGAGCACCGGCCACCCAAGUCCUAAACCCCAUACUCGAUGGCUUUCGACUGAAUAAGGUGUAAUGGAUGGUGUUAGUGGUAUAAACCUCAUUUACGAGGACACACUGGAAAAAAUACAGUUCGACAUAACUCAAAUCGAACAUAGAAACACCACAUUCCGAGGCAUCAUCCUCGGGAAAGAAGCACGCUGUACCGGAUGAGUAACACUCGACGUGGUAUUCAGCACGCCCGAGAACUACCAAUACGAAGAACUUCUUUUCCAUAUCGUGCCCUCUCAUAGUGGUUACCAUGCCCUGUUGGGACGCGAAGCCUUUACAAGAUUCCAAGCCAUACCACACUACGGGUACAUGAAGCUCAAAAUAAUAGGGCCGAAUGGUCUGAUCACAGUCAUAAGUGACCCCAACAGAGCCUUGUGAGCUGAAAAUAAAACGUAAUCCCUAGCCCUUGAGGUACUAGCGGAAACCCUCGCUGCAGAAGAGCUCACCAUAAUCCGCUCCAUAGUGGGCAAGUACGACGCGAUCCUUGACAAGCGGCCCAAGUCCACAUCCUUUAAACCAGCAGACGAGAUCAUCAAAUUUCACGUACAUCCAAUGGACCCCAACAAAAUGGAGUCCAUCGAAGCUUAGAUGGACCCCGCAAUCGACGAGGCGAUGCGUAGUUUUUUGCUCGAAAAUUGGGACAUCUUCGGCUGGCACCCCUCAGACAUGCCAAGAAUCCUGCGGGGGCUGGCCGAACACAACCUGAAUAUAAUAGCAGGCUUCAAACCUGUCAAACAUGCCUUGCGCCGAUUCUCCGAAUCAAAGUGUCAAGCCAGGGGCAAGGAACUGGCCAAACUACGAGAAGAAGGGUUCAUCAGAGAAAUUAAACAUCCCGACUGGUUGGCAAAUUUUGUCAUGGUACCAAAGAAUGACAAAUGUUGGCACAUAUGUGUCAAUUUCAAAGACCUUAUUAAGGCCUGCCCUAAGGAUCCUUUCCCCUUACCCUGAAUAGACCAAAUCAUCAACGCAACGGACGGACAAGAUUCUGUGUGUUUCCUUGAUGCCUAUUCCGGAUACCAUCAGAUUAAGACGGUGGAAUCCGAUCAGGCUGCAACUACCUUCAUAACCCCCUAUGGACCAUUCUGCUUUAAUACAAUGCCUUCCGGGGUUAAAGAAUGCGGGUGCCACUUACCAGCGCAUGAUCCAAACAUGUUUGGAAAAAAGUCGGAAAAAUAGUAGAGCCAUACGUGGACGAUAUGGUCGUCAAGAUCAAGCAUGUGGACCAGCUGGUAGAUGACCUCAGGCAUACCUUUGGCAGCCUACGAGAAUACGAUAUACGGCUUGACCCGGACAAGUGUGUCUUCAGAGUCUGAGCCGACGAAUUUCCCGGAUUCAUCAUGUCGCAAAGAGGAAUAGAGGCCAAUCCGACCAAGAUCUGAGCUCUGUCCCAACUCGCGGUUCCUACAAAGCUGAAGCAUGUACAAAAAUAGGCAGGCUGUGUUGCGGCUUUGAGCCGGUUUAUUUCUCACCUCAGCGAGAAAGCACUCCCACUUUAUAGGUUGCUUAAAAAGACCGAUAACUUCGAGUGGACCGAUGAAGCUGCGACUGCUCUAGAGGAAAUCAAAACGCUGCUCCCCAGCAACCCCAUCCUAGCAGCACCUUGCGCAGGAGUAUCGAUGUUGUUAUACAUCUCGACCACCAAUCAAGUAGUGAGCACGGUCCUCGUCUAGAACGGGAGGCCGAGGGGCACCAACUACGAAUAAAAAGACCAGUCUAUUACGCAUCCGAAGUGCUUACCCCAUGUAGAACCAGAUACCCACACUAUCAGAAGAUUGCCUACACAGUGUUUAUGGCAUCACGCAAGCUCAUGCACUACUUCCAAGAGUGCACGGCCACGAUAACAUCCGAGCUCCCCCAACACGACAUCAUUAAGAACAAGGACGCCACCGGCCGAAUGGCUAAAUGGGCCAUCGAACUCCUACCAUUCGAGAUUACCUACAAGCCACAACGAGCCAUCAAAUCUCAAGUGCUUGUCGACUUCGUUGCCGAAUGGAUAGAGGCAGAGCUCCCCAGGGAGUAUAACAGUUAUGCUCAUUGUACCAUGUACUUCAAUGGGUCCAAAAAUCUCGCCGGACUGGGGCUGGCGUAAUCCUCACAUCCCCUUCCAGGGAUAAUGUACGAUACGUUCUACAGAUCAUGUAUGACGAUUCGAAUAAUGUGGCAGAAUACGAGGCAAUACCACACGGUCUUUAGAUGGCAACCUCAAUGGGGAUACAACAGCUCGAGGUAUGGGGGAUUCCAACCUUUCCAUCUCACAAAUCAAUGGCGAAUUUGAUGCAAAAAAUCCAAAAAUGGCAGCAUACAAAAACGUCGUCCUCAAGAUAUCAGCAUGGUGCGAGGGAUUGGAGUUCCAUCACAUCUCGAGGGAUAACAACCAAGCCACAGACAUCCUCGCCCGCUUGGGCGCAAAGCAUGAUCAUGUCCCCCACAGCACUUUCCUAGAGAGGCUUUUCAAGCCAUCCGUGGUAUGGCAAGACGAGGAUACUAGCACGACAGCUGAUGGCGUGGCAUAGGUUACACCCCCGACACCCGAGACGGACAACCAGAUCAUCGGUGGAUCCACAAUCAAAGAAACACCUUCGGCUCACGAGGUCAUGGCAGUGAUGACCCCACACACAAAUGCCUUCCUUGCUUACCUUCUUCGCAAAGAGCUCCCAGACGACUGAUGACCCACAAGUGUAGGGGAUCUAUCGUAGUCCUUUCGAUAAGUAAGAGUGUCAAACCCAACGAGGAGCAGAAGGAACUGACAAGUGGUUUCCAGCAAGGUAUUCUGUGCAGGCACUGAAAUUAUCGGUAACAGAUAGUUGUGUGAUAAGAUACUUCGUAGCAAGUAGCAAGUAACAAUAGUAACAAAGGUGCAGAAAAGUGUCCCAAUCCCUUUUGUAGCAAGGGACAAGCCUGGACAAACUCUUAUAAGAGGUAAAGCGCUCCCGAGGACACAUAGGAAUUUCUGUCAAGCUAGUUUUCAUCAUGUUCAUAUGGUUCGCGUUCGCUACUUCGAUAUUUUGAUAUAUGGGUGGACCGGUGCUUGGGUGCUGCCCUUACUUGGAGAAUCAUCCCACUUAUGAUUAACCCCUCUCGCAAGCAUCCGCAACUACGAAAGAAGAAUUAAGACAAAGUCUAACCAUAGCAUUAAACUAGUGGAUCCAAAUCAACCCCUUACGAAGCAAUGCAUAAACUAGGGUUUAUGGUUCUGUCACUCUAGCAACUCAUCAUCUACUUUUUACUUCCCAAUGCCUUCCUCUAGACCCAAAUAUUGGUGAAGUGUCAUGUAGUCGACGUUCACAUAACACCACUAGAGGAAAGACAACAUACAUCGCAUCAAAAUAUCGAACGAAUACCAAAUUCACAUGACUACUUAUAGCAAGACUUAUCACAUGUCCUCAGGACAAAAGUGACUACUCACAAAGCAUAAUUAUGUUCAUGACCAGAGAGGUAAUGAAUAGAUUUAUGGAUCUGAACAUAUAAUCUUCCACCGAGUAAUCCAACUAGCAUCAACUACAAAGAGUAAUUAACACUACUAGCAACCUUACAAGUACCAAUCGGAGUCGCGAGACGGAGAUUGGUUACAAGAGAUGAACUAGGGUUCGGAGAUGAGAUGGUGCUAAUGAAGAUGUUGAUGGUGAUGAGUCCCCUCCGAUCAAAGGAGUGUUGGUGAUGACGAUGGCGACAAUUUCCCCCUCCGGGAGGGAAGUUUCCCCAACAGGACGGCCCUGCCGGAGCUCUAGAUUGGUUCUACUCAAGUUCCGCCUCGUGGUGGCGGCGAUUCCUCCCGAAAGCCUUCUCCUGAUUUUUUCUCGAACGAAACCCUCAUUAUAGCAAAAGAUGGGGGCCAGAGGGGCAACAGGGGUCCCACAAGCCACCUAGGCGCGACCAGGGGGGUAGGCCGCGCCUGGCAGGCUUGCGGCCUCCUGGUGGCUCCCCUCUAGUACUUCUUCCGCCCAGUAAUUUUUAUAAAAUCCAAAAUAUUUCCUCGUAGAUUUUCUCGGCUUUUGGAGUUGCGCAAAAUUGGUAUCUCAAACUUGCUCCUUUUUCAGACCAGAAUUCCAGCUGCCGGCAUUCUCCCUCUUCAUGUAAACCUUAUAAAAUAAGAGAGAAAAAGCAUAAGUAUUGUACCGUGAAGUGUAAUAACAGCCCAUAAAGCGAUAAAUAUCAACAUAAAAGCAUGAUGCAAAAUAGACGUAUCAACUCCCCCAAGCUUAGACCUCGCUUGUCCUCAAGCGGAAGCCGAGAUCAAUAAAUAUGCCCACAUGUUUAGAGAUAGAGGUGUCGGUAAAACAAAAUACGGACAUGCAUGCAUCAUGAUCAUAAUUAGAACAGCAAUAGGGUCAUAUAAACUCUUAUGCUAAAGUGACAAUUCUUUCACAAAGUAAAGUAUGGGUCAAGAACCUUAUUGAGAAUUAACAACCAAUAGCCUUUAGUCAUUGAAGCAAUUGCAAUUUAUCAUAACAUCGGAAAGAGUCAAAUAAGAGGUUGUAAAGCAAAUCCACAUACUCAAUCAUCCUUUCGUCUUUUACAAUUGCUAAAACUCAUGUGGUACUCAUGAGAUCAAAGUUUCAAUUGGACACAGAGAAAGAUAGGGGCUUAUAGUUUCACAUCCCAACUACUUACCUCAAGGGUAAUGUCAACAAUAAUAAUUCAUGGAUACUUACUUCCAAGUUGACAUAUGAAUAUAGAUCUUUCCAUAGCACAAGACGUUAGCCAAGAUAAUGGCGAAAUAAGGAAUUGGUGUAGAUCACCAUGACUCUUUUAAGGACAAAAAGUAAAGGUACAAGAUAGGCCCUUCGGAGAGGGAAGUAGAGGUUGUCAUGCGCUUUUGAGGUUUGUAUGUGUGACCUCUUAGUAGGAAGGAACGUCACUUUAUAUUGCCUCCCGUGAUAAAGAACUUUAUUAUGAAGUCUGUCGCUUUUAUGUCUUCCUCAUCACAGGUUCGUACAAAGGUUAUUUUCCACACAGUAAUAGAUCAUACAUAUUUAGGGAGCAAGUUUUAUUGCUUGCACCGAUGACAACUUAGUUGAGGGAUCUUCUUCAAUCCAUAGGUAGGUAUGGUGGACUCUCAUGGCAAAAAUUUGUUGAAGGUUUAUGGAUGCACAAGUAGUAUCUCUAUUUAGUGCGGAAGUUUUGGCUGAUAUGAGGUGGAAGCAAGCGUCACAUGCUAAGGGAUCUUAUUCAUAUAACAUUGUUCGGAACCAAGCAAACAUAAUUCAUUAUGUUGUCUUCCUUGUCCAACAUCUACUUCUAAGCAUGUAAUAGUUUAAUGAGUGUGCACAAUCAUAGAUGGUGUCCAAGAUGAUAUAUUUAGAUGUGAACCUCUCCUUCUUUAUUACUUCCUAUUAAUUGCAACAAUGACCAAAGUUUACGUUUGUCCACCCACAACAAGUUUCAAUCAACAUUCUUUUUAUAUGUGAAGUCAUCACUUUCCA